This 386-nucleotide ribosomal RNA is filed under the name uncultured bacterium. RNAcentral's name for it is "bacterial SSU rRNA". It matches the Rfam family "Bacterial small subunit ribosomal RNA", at positions 28 to 419 of the family's 1533-position model. The record is from RNAcentral.
GACGAACGCUGGCGGCGUGCUUAACACAUGCAAGUCGAGCGGUAAGGCCCUUCGGGUACGACGAGCGGCGAACGGGUGAGUAACACGUGGGUGACCUGCCUCUAGCUCUGGGAUAAGCCUGGGAAACUGGGUCUAAUACCGGAUAUGACUCCACGGCGCAUGUUGUGGGGUGGAAAGCCUUGUGUGGCUAGAGAUGGGCCCGCGGCCUAUCAGCUUGUUGGUGGGGUGAUGGCCACCAAGGCGACGACGGUAGCCGGCCUGAGAGGGCGACCGGCCACACUGGGACUGAGACACGGCCCAGACUCCUACGGGAGGCAGCAGUGGGGAAUCUUGCGCAAUGGGCGAAAGCCUGACGCAGCGACGCCGCGUGAGGGAUGACGGCCUCG